This is a long non-coding RNA of Daphnia carinata, 559 nucleotides long. RefSeq lists it as uncharacterized. NCBI's taxonomy places the organism in Eukaryota, Metazoa, Arthropoda, Branchiopoda, Diplostraca, Daphniidae. The transcript is spliced from 4 exons. The record is from RefSeq and is a predicted model, not a curated record.
AUUUGCUUUUCAACAUCCAUUUCAUAGUGGUACAUGUGGCUUUGAUUAAUAUUACCAUAAAGACUGCCGAAAAUGGGUGUGGUACGGAAACCCAGAAAUGGCAUGAGUUCAACAUCAAACAUGGAUUAGAAUUUUAGUGGGGAACCAAGUCAAGUCUGGAAGUGUUACAGGAUGGAAGAGUGAGCCUACAGUUGAAAAAACACUGAGAGUGCAUUACCAUUAAGCAAUCCUUUAUAGUUCUGUCACAGCUAGAAGCCUCAAAUAAUUCUGCUUCUCUUGCUAAAGAACAACUUGUCCUUUACGUUCAGAGUGUUGGUGAAGCUGGGUAGUUAAAUGGCCCUGAAGAUGUUUCACUUCGCUGGCAUUGCAGCAAUGAACAUCAUACAUGGACUCUUUAGGAAAGGAUUUUCAUAUACUGGGAACACAACUAUCAACAAUGCAACAUUCUACGGGUGCUAGUUUAUCAUUCAAGAGCCUUAUACAAUGAUGUUAAUCUGCAAUUUGUAUGUCCUUUCCCAAGCUUCCACCAGAAGUUGAAUCUAUGAGUCAUGUAAGUCAC